This 459-nucleotide ribosomal RNA is filed under the name uncultured bacterium. RNAcentral describes it as "partial 16S ribosomal RNA". It matches the Rfam family "Bacterial small subunit ribosomal RNA", at positions 338 to 795 of the family's 1533-position model. The record is from RNAcentral.
CCUACGGGAGGCAGCAGUGAGGAAUAUUGGUCAAUGGGCGGGAGCCUGAACCAGCCAAGCCGCGUGAGGGAAGAAGGUACAGCGUAUCGUAAACCUCUUUUGUCAGGGAACAAAGGCGGGGACUAGUCCCCGGAUGAGGGUACCUGAAGAAAAAGCAUCGGCUAACUCCGUGCCAGCAGCCGCGGUAAUACGGAGGAUGCGAGCGUUAUCCGGAUUUAUUGGGUUUAAAGGGUGCGCAGGCGGCCUGUUAAGUCAGCGGUAAAAGCUCGGGGCUCAACCCCGGCGAGCCGUUGAAACUGGCGGGCUUGAGUUGGAGAGAAGUACGCGGAAUGCGCGGUGUAGCGGUGAAAUGCUUAGAUAUCGCGCAGAACCCCGAUUGCGAAGGCAGCGUACCGGCUCCACACUGACGCUGAGGCACGAAAGCGUGGGUAUCGAACAGGAUUAGAUACCCGUGUAGUC